RNAcentral lists this unclassified non-coding RNA (1370 nucleotides) under Hevea brasiliensis (rubber tree). Lineage: Eukaryota; Viridiplantae; Streptophyta; Magnoliopsida; Malpighiales; Euphorbiaceae. The record is from RNAcentral.
GCAAACACGCUACUUUCAGUCAAUAAAACGGUGACGUUUUACUCGAUGCUUACCCUUUUUGGCGCGUUUUCUCCUUAGCCCUCACCUUGCCCUCGCAGCGUGUUCUUUACAUGGGCACUAAUCUGGGUCGACAAGCUGUUCGAUAUAAUGCCUCAACCAUUUGAACGAACAACAUAUCAGUAGAGGACUUUGUUCGGGCUUGGAUAUGGAAGCGGCGCACUACUAUCUUGAUGGCAAUGCAGAUGCGGUAGAGUUUUGUCCACAUGACUUGUACCGCCACGUUUUAGCGGCCGCAACUUACACGCUGCAAGAGGGUGAUCGGCCGAGCCGAUCUGGAAGCAUUUCGCUCUUCGAUGUUGAUGCUGAUGUAGGCCGCUUCGAUUUGUUUCAUCGCGUGGAAACGGCUGGGAUCUUUGAUAUUAAGUGGAAUCCCGUUGGAGGCACGAUAGAUAGGCCAAUGCUUGCACAAGCUGAUGCCGAUGGGUGCUUGAGAAUUCAUGAGUUAGAGUGCCUUUCAGAUGGAGAAAAAGGGGGCUGUCUAAGAGAGAUUAAUGGUGAAAAAAUCAGCUCUUCUAUGUGCCUUUGCUUGGAUUGGAAUCCAUCAGCCACAUCCAUUUCGGUUGGAAUUUCAGAUGGUUCUGUCUCAAUGGUCUCCUUCUCAGAGUCACAACUGUAUGUAAGUCAAGAAUGGAAAGCUCAUGAUUUUGAGCUAUGGGCUGCUUCCUUUGAUAUGCACCAACCACAAUUGGUAUACACUGGCUCGGAUGACUGCAAAUUCAGUUGUUGGGAUUUGCGGGAUAGCCCUCCGAAUAUGGUAUUUCAGAAUUCAAAGGUUCAUAAGAUGGGUGUUUGUUGCAUUGCAAAGUGUCCUAGUAACCCUAAUACCUUAUUUACUGGUAGUUAUGAUGAGUAUCUAAGGCUUUGGGAUGUAAGAUCAAUCUCAAAACCAGUAAACGAGACAUCAAUUCAUUUAGGGGGAGGAGUUUGGAGAGUCAAGCACCAUCCAUAUAUUCCAGGUCUGGUCUUGGCAGCUUGUAUGCACAAUGGGUUUGCAAUUGUAAAGAUUGAAGAUGACAAAGGUGAACUGAUUGAAACUUAUGGAAAACAUGGCUCCCUUGCUUAUGGGGCUGAUUGGCAAAGAAGAGAAUUGUCUCAAGGGGACGAGCAGAAAAGCAGUGUGGUGGCUACUUGUUCCUUUUACGAUCGGCUUCUGCGGGUAUGGAUUCCAGAAAAUAGUAAUGGUAUGGGACUGAUUGGUUCAGUGCAACUAAACAUGCUGCCUUAGUAUAUUUCAAUUUCAAACCAUGUGUUGCCGCUGGUUUUGGGGAUGUUUUGUUGUACUUUGUUAUGUAUGCAUCAUCAAUGCUGUC